Molecule: ribosomal RNA, 301 nt
Filed under: uncultured bacterium
Lineage: Bacteria
Description: partial 16S ribosomal RNA
Rfam family: Bacterial small subunit ribosomal RNA
Source: RNAcentral
CAGCCGCCGCGGGAAUACGGAGGGAGCUAGCGUUAUUCGGAAUUACUGGGCGUAAAGCGCACGUAGGCGGCUUUGUAAGUAAGAGGUGAAAGCCCGGAGCUCAACUCCGGAACUGCCUUUUAGACUGCAUCGCUUGAAUCCAGGAGAGGUGAGUGGAAUUCCGAGUGUAGAGGUGAAAUUCGUAGAUAUUCGGAAGAACACCAGUGGCGAAGGCGGCUCACUGGACUGGUAUUGACGCUGAGGUGCGAAAGCGUAGGGAGCAAACAGGAUUAGAUACCCCAGUAGUCCCUGUCUCUUAUAC